RNAcentral lists this long non-coding RNA (12307 nucleotides) under Homo sapiens (human). Its description in RNAcentral is "non-protein coding lnc-TMEM255B-5:27". The record is from RNAcentral. Lineage: Eukaryota; Metazoa; Chordata; Mammalia; Primates; Hominidae.
AUUGGCUUCUCUUCAGAGCCCUGAGAGAGCAGCCCUGCAGACACUGUUCAUGGACACUGACUGUGGCAAGAGGUGGCGACAGACCCUUGAGCUUAGUGGUCUAUAGCUAGUAGGAUUGAUGAUGGGGUAAUGUGGGAUUGAUAGGGCGAGUAACAUGGUAUUAAUAGUGGAUUCUCUGUGGGGUGGCUGGGGGCAUAUCAUGGGCCUGGUGGUUGUUGCAGCUCUGCUCUUGUCUUACUGUCUGCAUGGUAGAGCUUGGCUAAAGCCAAAGGACACCCUGGGCCUAUCUCCAUUGCCCUAGAGGAGAAGGCAGGGCAGGUUCAUUAGUCACAGCUGCUUCACCUGUUCUCUGUUCUCUCUGCUCUCAGGCUGUGGACAGUGCUGGGCCCACAGAAAAAGGUCCCUGACCUUGUAGACCAGGGCUUUGCAACCUAUCUGUGGGGAAUAAUAUGUUUUAUUAAUUUCCAAUGUGGACAGAGAUUUUAACACCCCCUUCCAGUACUUGUGAUGUGGUUUGGACACCACGUCUCUUCGCCCACCACUCACCAGGAUGGGACCAGACAGCCUCAGCCCUCCAUCUGAGAUAAUACCCCAAGCAGGGAACCUCUUGGGAAAAGGCAGAGUUGCUAUGCCAAAUAAAUCACAUGUCCAUUUAGUAAUAAACCAACACAAAUAGCACAAGUGGAUUUUUGUGGCGUUUCCAAAGGUGAGCCUGUCUGUCCAGUGAAGCUGAGGAAUCUGGACUGGGAGGACCCAGACUGCAGUCCGACCUCCAGCACCUUAGGCAGCCAGUGUUUCCAGUGCUGCAGCCACAGCUGAGGGGAAAACAGUUUACCAGACUUUAAUGAUGUUCACAAAACAACCACAGCCCUGGGCAUGUUGUGUGCUCUUUGUAAAUUAACUCACAUAAUCCUCACGACAACCUUCUAAGAUGGGCACUGUUGCCUUCAUCUCACCACGUUGGAUGGCACAGUCACCAAGUUCCUGACCUCCUCUUCUCUAUUGGUUUAUUCGCAGGCCGGAAAAGAGGCAUAAACUCGGAGAACCCAAGACCCCGGCCUGGCGUGCAGCCCCAGCAGCCGGACCAGCCUUGGGCAACAGCGUGCGACGUUCAGCUGUCUGUGUCUCCAGUGCUCCCAUUCCAUCGCACCUGAAUGAGGGAUUUGGGAGGUAAAACAGGCAAAUAAUGAAAUAUACAAAUCUUCAUUGUGCAGUUUUGAUCAGUUGCUUCUCCUAUGCAACCCUCACCCCAAUAGAGACACAGCCUCUCGUCGGAACGCUCCUGCACACCCUUCUCGCAACCCCCACCACCUGCCCCCCACUCCCGACCAGAGCAGCCGCCGUCCUGGUGUCUCCCAUCAGAGGUAAGUGUGGUCUCCCGACCAGAGCAGCCGCCGUCCUGGUGUCUCCCAUCAGAGGUAAGUGUGGUCUCCCGACCAGAGCAGCCGCCGUCCUGGUGUCUCCCAUCAGAGGUAAGUGUGGUCUCCCGACCAGAGCAGCCGCCGUCCUGGUGUCUCCCAUCAGAGGUAAGUGUGGUCUCCCGACCAGAGCAGCCGCCGUCCUGGUGUCUCCCAUCAGAGGUAAGUGUGGUCUCCCGACCAGAGCAGCCGCCGUCCUGGUGUCUCCCAUCAGAGGUAAGUGUGGUCUCCCGACCAGAGCAGCCACCGUCCUGGUGUCUGCCAUCAGAGGUAAGUGUGGUCUCCCGACCAGAGCAGCCACCGUCCUGGUGUCUGCCAUCAGAGGUAAGUGUGGUCUCCCGACCAGAGCAGCCACCGUCCUGGUGUCUCCCAUCAGAGGUAAGUGUGGUCUCCCGACCAGAGCAGCCACCGUCCUGGUGUCUCCCAUCAGAGGUAAGUGUGGUCUCCCGACCAGAGCAGCCACCGUCCUGGUGUCUCCCAUCAGAGGUAAGUGUGGUCUCCCGACCAGAGCAGCCGCCGUCCUGGUGUCUCCCAUCAGAGGUAAGUGUGGUCUCCCGACCAGAGCAGCCGCCGUCCUGGUGUCUCCCAUCAGAGGUAAGUGUGGUCUCCCGACCAGAGCAGCCGCCGUCCUGGUGUCUCCCAUCAGAGGUAAGUGUGGUCUCCCGACCAGAGCAACCGCCGUCCUGGUGUCUCCCAUCAGAGGUAAGUGUGGUCUCCCGACCAGAGCAGCCACCGUCCUGGUGUCUGCCAUCAGAGGUAAGUGUGGUCUCCCGACCAGAGCAGCCACCGUCCUGGUGUCUGCCAUCAGAGGUAAGUGUGGUCUCCCGACCAGAGCAGCCACCGUCCUGGUGUCUCCCAUCAGAGGUAAGUGUGGUCUCCCGACCAGAGCAGCCACCGUCCUGGUGUCUCCCAUCAGAGGUAAGUGUGGUCUCCCGACCAGAGCAGCCACCGUCCUGGUGUCUCCCAUCAGAGGUAAGUGUGGUCUCCCGACCAGAGCAGCCACCGUCCUGGUGUCUCCCAUCAGAGGUAAGUGUGGUCUCCCGACCAGAGCAGCCACCGUCCUGGUGUCUCCCAUCAGAGGUAAGUGUGGUCUCCCGACCAGAGCAGCCACCGUCCUGGUGUCUGCCAUCAGAGGUAAGUGUGGUCUCCCGACCAGAGCAGCCACCGUCCUGGUGUCUGCCAUCAGAGGUAAGUGUGGUCUCCCGACCAGAGCAACCACCGUCCUGGUGUCUCCCAUCAGAGGUAAGUGUGGUCUCCCGACCAGAGCAGCCACCGUCCUGGUGUCUCCCAUCAGAGGUAAGUGUGGUCUCCCGACCAGAGCAACCACCGUCCUGGUGUCUCCCAUCAGAGGUAAGUGUGGUCUCCCGACCAGAGCAACCACCGUCCUGGUGUCUCCCAUCAGAGGUAAGUGUGGUCUCCUGACCAGAGCAACCACCGUCCUGGUGUCUCCCAUCAGAGGUAAGUGUGGUCUCCUGACCAGAGCAACCACCGUCCUGGUGUCUCCCAUCAGAGGUAAGUGUGGUCUCCCGACCAGAGCAGCCACCGUCCUGGUGUCUGCCAUCAGAGGUAAGUGUGGUCUCCCGACCAGAGCAACCACCGUCCUGGUGUCUCCCAUCAGAGGUAAGUGGGGUCUCCUGACCAGAGCAACCACCGUCCUGGUGUCUCCCAUCAGAGGUAAGUGGGGUCUGUUUUUGAAAGUCACUGACACGAAACCGUGCAGAAUGUACUUUUUGUGUCUGAGAUUCACUCACCUCCUUGUGCAGAACCUUGAAGUCCUCGUGAAGAAAUGUGGCCCCAUUAGUGUCCUGCACCUUUUCUCCCCUCACUGAUUGUUAGAAGCCAGGUGCUGUGCUAUGCCUGCUAGGGCCAGUAUUUGACAAAUUCCCUGCUUCGCUAAAGAGGAGGGUUCGUGUCUGGAAGUCACGGGCCCGGUGACAGGCCCACUGUCUGUCCUGGAGGGCCAGACCCAUCGUGCCAGUGAGUGCGGGCCUUGCCCACCGUUGUGUGUGCGGCCCUAGACACACUUGCAGAACUGGCCCCAAUAGGGAGUUUAGAGAGAGGAUUGCACAGGCGAGUGGAUGAAUGAGUGACAUUUCAGAAGCUGAGGUUUGUAGCUGCUGCCUGCAAUCUGUUCUGAAGUCCAGCAGCAGCAAAGGGGUGGGGAGGGGUCAGGCUCACCUGAGACAGGAAGGUGGGUUCCCCCAGGCAGAGGCUUGGCAGAGGGAAUCAUUGUUGGGACAUCUCUAAAAAUAAGUGACAGAAAGUUCCGAGUUCUCUCACGCAGUCUAGAAACACAGAUUCUUACUGCACAGAUUUUUCUUUAAAGUGAAGCAGGAAUUUCAAUGCUCUGAACUGACACCAGCAAACCAAGGCAGUUCUGGCUCAUCCAAGGGUUGGGGUUCUUAUUUCAAACUCGAGAGGCCUGGACUAAGAUGCAUCAUCACUAACCAGGCUCCAACAAGGCAGAAAUGCCGCUUUAUCAAAACCACCGCAGGCUGGAGAGAAAUAAGAGCUGCCUUGCCAAGGCUGGGACCGCCAGCAGAGGCAUACUCAGCUUCCAGGUGGGGCCUGCCAGCUGGGGGCUGGCCCUGAAGAUCACAGACUCCCAGACCGAGGGGGCGGGAAGGUCGUCUCAUCCAGUGGGGACCCCUGUCCAGCCUUUUCUCCUGCUCUGUAGAACCUGUGGGGUCAUUUCAGGAAACAAAAUAUACGAAGCUAUCCAGCCUCAAAGCCAUAAGUAACUAAGUAACUGAAAAAUUAGACCCAAGCUUCCAGAAAAACGGUGCAGAACAUCCUCCCACUCCCUUGGGUUGGGAGCUCCUAAAGGCGUUUCUUAUUCCUCUCUGUUCUUCUGUCACGACCAGGGCUGAGCGUGCGUUCGAGCUUCUCCUGCAUCAUGACCAGGAUGCUCUGGGACACCUUGUCCACGUCUGUGUCCACCAGUCCUGCUCAGAAUCUCCCCAGGGGCUUUUCCACGAUGCCCAUCCAGGCGUCACCCUCACUCUAGGCCAGGAGGAGAAGGCAUGCCCUGAGGAUUCAGCCUCUUCUUCUUCAUCCCUCCCAGCACCCAGUGUGUUGGGUGCACACAUUCCUAGAGACCUUGAGUCCACAGCCCUGGGGCUCUGCACACUGCGGGUCCGGUGGUGUUUCCAGCGCCGUGUGGAUGACUUCCCCGCGUGUUUCCCCCUCUACACAGUUGAGGAACAGAGAAGAUCUCCACUUGCCAACGGACACAGCGCUAGUGAAGCCAAUUAUUGCUACAUCCACUGAUAAAGUUCGGGGGGAAUUAAAUUUUUUGGUCCAUGGAUGCAAAUCGCCUCCAGGCACCUUUACUAUCUCAGUGCUCUCCUCAGGAGGCUGCUGUUGGUGGCCAGGGAUUUUGCCAUAGCAAAGUUCUUACAGAUUCCCAAACAAUAGCACUCAGCUGUCUGCCUCUCUGGCAGGAGGACGGACAUUCGCAGCUUUGGACUCAUUUUCUUCCAAAUAUGAACACUUUCAAAGACAGGGAUCUGCCAAUGACUUUACCAGGAGGGCCUUGCCGGAGCUGUCACUGCUGUGGCAUGCAAGAAAGCAAGAGUCCUCCAGGAAGCCGGCCAAGAGGCGCCUUCUCUUAGGCCAAACAUGGGCAACAUGAGAAUAAGAAUACACAAAAUCAGGAGAACUAACAGGAGGCUGUGAGGAACUCACCCCAAAUAAUGAGGAAGCUGGAGAAUAAGACCAGCCUGGUCCAACUAAUGGCUGCUCCGUUGGAGGCACAGGAGUGCAGAGGCAGCGAGGCCUGCAGAAGACCCCUCGCUGCGCUGGGCGGCAACUCCAGUGAAAAGCUGCUAAUCAAACACAACUGAAUUCACACUAUUUUAAAAAUAAGUCUGUAAAGGCAAAACAGGUUAAUAGUAUUUUGACACUAAGCUUGUAGUUAUAACAGAUACUUUAAAAGGUCAAUCCCAGUUACCACGGUGACUGCAGCUCAGGCACCGCAGAAGUGCGUGAGGAUGAGAGUGAGGGAGCCGCAGCCUGGAAGGGUGGGUCCCAAAGUCUCACUGGCUGAUAGGGUUUGGCUGUGUCCCCACCCAAAUCUCACCUUGAAUUGUAGGUUCCAUAAUCCCCACGUGUUGUGGGAGGGACCUGGUGGGAGGUAAUUGAAUUAUAGGGGCGGGUUUCUCCCGUGCUGUUGUUGUGAUAGUGAAUAAGUCUCACACAAUCCGAUGGUUUUAUAAAGGGCAGUUCCCCUGCAUACACUCUGUCACCUGCCGCCCUGUAAGAUGUGUCUUUGCUCCUCCUUUGCCUUCCACCAUGAUUGUGAGGCCUCCCCAGCCAUGUGGAACUGUGAGUCCAUUAAACCUCUUUUUCUUUAUAAAUUACCCAGUCUCGUUUAGGUCUUUCUUAGCAGUGUGAGAAUGGACUAAUACACUGGCAAAUACCAGGGACAACUGUGGUGGUUGUUGUAACAAGAAGGAUGACAGUCUCUGCCUACUGAGCACACAGUGUGCCGGAUGCUGCAGCGCAUGUGGGCAGAGAGGCCUCACUCUGUCUCACAGCGACCCCAUGAGGCAGGUGUCACUGCCUCAAGCUACAAAUAAAGAAACCGAGGCUUGAGAAGAAUCAGUGACCUGUAGGAGAUCACGCAGUUAAUAAGCAAUCAGGGCCGUGUUUGCAACCCAGACAGAACUUUCAAGCCCUUAUCAGCAACAUGGAAAUAAAUAACUCAAAGGUUAAUUCCAGAAAGUUUCCUUACUCAAAGCGCAUCUUGGCAUUGAUUUCACAGGCAGCAAGCCUCAUCCCAAGCAAUGCUAAAAGGUUUCAUCACCCCAGCCCCAUCCCCAGGCAUCUGCUUGUCAGGCUUUAAGGUGAUAAAGAAAGAGGAAGGAUCAUAAAAACACCCACGAAGAAAUACAAGGGGGCUAUCUAACUAUUUUGGAAUUAAUCCCCUAGACUUUUGGAAUGAGGAUACAUUGAGGAAAAGGUUAUGGCAAGUUUGAGUCUGUCACCAACCUGCAUCCGAGCCCCAGCAGGCCCUUCAGGUAACAAAUCAAAGGCCUGUGUCCUGGUUCUUGCCCCUGCAGUCCUGGCCAACACUUUCUCUUAAGCGGCACCCACUGACCGGCUGCCUGGCAGCCUCCUCACCUUCCCUCUUCACUUGCUACAUCUGAUCCUUCAACAAGGCAGGAGUCCUGCGUCUACAGGCUUCUCCAGGAGCGAUCUCUCUGUCAGGCUAAUUAAACGGCAGCUACUCCCCAGGACAGUCCUGGAAUCCUUGCUGAAUCGUGGAAGCUCCAGGCAACCACAAUACCCAGAAUCUUUCCGUCACAGUUUAAGCCAGAGGUAGGGUCCCAGCAGGGGCCACUCGACCUUGCAGGAAAGCUCCCACAUCCUACCCACGGGAUGUUCUGGACCCCACUUCUGUUGUUGAGGAAAAAACAAAUUCAAAGAGCAGACCUCACAGAGAUGUUCUCACAAGAAUCAAAUCAAUUCAGACUCAUAUAUUUUAAGUUAAAAGGAAGCAUUUGAGAUGUAUAUGUAUCAUUGUCAAUUUCCUGCUUUACCUGAUUUUUUCACUUAUUUGAAAAUAUUUCAACAAAUAAAAGGGCUCCUAAGUGUUCAGCAUGUUUCUGCAUCUAGUCACCUGCUUUUUCAUGUCCCUUAGUGGAGUUUUAUAUUUCUGUUUGCUUUACAAAUGUGUACAUGGUGGGUUUUAUAUUUUUAUGCUCUCAGACUUACCGGUCCUCCCAUCUCUGGUUUCUGCCUUUGGUAUCAUGCUGACAUCUCUCAACUGACCCAAUUUUUUCCUAUAGUUCCUUACAAAAUUUGUUGUUUCUUCAAUAUAAAUUUUGUACUCAUCUCUUGGCCUAACAAGUCCUGGGUAUUUAAGAUGCUGGGUUGUUAUUUCGAACAGGCUCCCCCUCACUCUUGCUUGCGAGGUGGUUAUUGCUAGCAUCUGGGAAUGCUAUUGGAUUUCUAUAUUGAUUUUACUCACCAUCAUUGUAAUUUCCUCUCUUAAUUUUACUAACUUUGAGUCCAUCCUUUGGGGUGUUUGGGAAAGUUUUUUGGCUUGAAGUUCUGACUCUGGAAUCAGCCAGACCUGCGUUUGCAUUCCAGGAGUAGCAUCUGUAAGACUUAUGGUUCCAAACCAGAGUUUCCCUAGGAAAUAAACACGGAGGGGCUGAAAGGACCUGGGGCCAUCGGGGGUGGAUGGCCAUAUCCUGGGGCCUUGAUGCCAGUGCCGACUGUUCCCUGCACGCUUCCACGUCCACGCCAACAUUGCAAGGCUAUGUCACGGACUGGAACAGCUACAGUGAUGACACACCUGAGGUGAACACAACUCCAGCAGCAUCCUGGCCUCUCAUGGGGCAAGUGCAUGUGGAAUCUAGAAACUUCACAGCUGAGCCUGCAAAGGUGCUCAUGGCAUGCAGAAGUGUUUCUGGAUCCAGUGGUAGGAAGUCAUUUCAAGCAGCUUGUGAACAUUCACAGAAGCAGCUCAGGAUCAUCCUGCUGCUUCUGAGAGCAGGUGUCGGGCCCCAGGCUGGAGGCCACGUGCCAGGCUGGCAGGAUUUGUCCACUGUGAAGCUCGACGCCCCCGCAGGCCCUGUGCUGCCCGCCCGGAUCCCCCUGCCUCAGGAUGCCCUCCACACCCUCCGAAUUCCCAGCCGCUGCUCUGGGGCCUGCACAGAGGGCUUGGGCCCAGCACCUGGAAACUCCAAAGAGGCAAACGGGUUCAUGUCCAGGUUUUGUCAGAUCGCUUCCGAGGCUGCCCUCUUCGCCGUGGCUGCUGAGUGCAGAGCUGGGCAUCUGAGUGGACAGAGUGGUGCUCCGCUUCCUUGCAUCUCCUGGGCCAUGCGUGGUGACCUGUGCCCACUGCAUCGCUCCUGUGUGCCCUGUGCAUGUGACCGUGUCUUUCCCGUGUAUUCAGUGCUGCUUCAUGUCUUCCAGUUCCGCUUUGUGGUUUGUGAGUGACCAGUGCAUCCCGUUCCUGCUGCAGCAGCUGCAAUGUGCACUGUCCUGCAGGAAGCCCUCGGGGUAGGGCCUGGGGGCUGUGGGAAGCUCAGCAACAAGAUUCCCAACACCAGAGCUUCUAAGAGACCUGGAACCUCUUGAGUGAUGAGCGUGUCUUUUGUGUGCUGACGAGAGGACAGAGCUGGUGACCCUUGGGCAGCUUCAGGAAGGGACUGCUCCCCAGAAAGACCAAGGCAGGACUUAUAGGUGAGGACUUUCAGAUCCACCCCAACCUCCAGGAAGCGGGAGGGGAGAGAGGACAGGAGCUGAAGAUGGAACUGAUUACCGAUGGCCAAGAAUUUAAUCCAUUAUUCUGUUAAUGAAAAACCAAACUCUGUAAAACAUUUUAAAGAGGUUUAUUGGGACCCCUAAUACGGUGACCACAGCUUGGAGAAAAAACAAACCCAAGAAGCCUAGAGUGAGUGUUCCUGAGGUGCCUGGAUUACAGUCUGGCUUCAUGCACUUUAGGGGACAGGCGUUACAGGUGGACGAGAUAUAUAUUGGCUCAGCUCGAACACGCGGGAUAUCUGGAAGCAAGCCUUAUCGGUUAUAGGUGGAUUCAGAGAGUCUUCAGUUUGCGGCUGGUUAAAGGAGCAAAGCUUUAUCUAAAACCUAGAGUCAGCGAUGAGGACAUCUGCACCCGAAACAUGGGGCAGGGGUGACUAACAGGGUGCAUGACUUGACUUAACCCUCGUCUGACAUGGUCUUGGGUCCUGUUUGUAACUGGGGCUCUUAUUGCCACGGUCAGUUCUGUCAGCCUUCUGAUCUCUGUUUUGACAUUAAUGCCUAAAUUCCAAAGGGAGUGGGAACAGCCAGGCGUCCAAUCUCCCUUCCUGUUGCGGCCGGGAACUGUUUUCCAGGUUUCUCUGGGGUCCCCUUGGCCAAGAGCGGGUCCAUGUAGUCACUGGGGGCCUUAGGACGUUAUUUUUGGUGCCUGUGUUGGGGCUUAGAAGAUCAUACUCCAAAAUGAGGGCCCCAGCAGCAGCCUCUGAAGCAAGUUUCUGUCUGAGCUUCUCCCAUCCUCUGUGUCUCAGUACCACUCUCACUCAAGGUGCCAUAGAAAUGGGAAUCCUUCUUCCCCACAGUGGGUCCUAGAAACCAGAACCCCUUUCCCCAAAGCCAGCCAUACAACCAAAAACUAGGGCUCUAAUUUUCCCUGUGCCUCUGUGUGUACAAACUGGCCAUAAAGAAAUGGUCUGACCUACCUGGCUUGGCUGUAGCUCCUAAGACCCCCAUUCCAGAGAGGGUCCCACCCACACCCAGAAGGAGAGGGCGCUGCUCAGAGAGGCCAAGGAGAAUCCAGACACACAGACCAGGCUGGCUUUCCCCACUCAGUCCAUUAGCAUCAGAUCCAGCUAAGCCUCCAAUCCUAUUUCUACAUGGCUGCCCAUACUUCAUUGAACCUAAGCAUAAAAAUGAGCUGUUUAUCUGAAGGGUCCCUUGUAUACACAUUAAUUUGUGUGCCUUUUCUCCAGUUAAUCUGCUUUUUGUGAGUUGACUUUUCAGAGAACCCUUGUAAGGCUGAGGGAAAAGCUCUCCCUUGGCCCCACACCUACAUAAUGGAACCUCCAUGAGGUACACAUAAUUUAGGAUGUCUAUCCUAAAUGAUGGGGUUCCAAAAACUCCCAGGGUGGUGAAUUCAUCCAGAUGCCGGGAGGGAGGACGGUGCACUGCAACCCAGGUUGUUAGUCUCAGAAUUGAAUGGAAUUCCAGGACAUCCAGUUGGCAUCCAAGGAGCUGGAAAACUGGGUGGUGUGGGAAAUAAAAACCUGAUAGGUUUGGGAUCAUGAGAGAAAGAGAUACCCUUUAGCCACCUUCUCUGUUUCCUCAUGAGAAAAGAAAGUCAUGUUUAUCUGAGGACUGUGAGUCCUUUUAAAUUAUCAGGCCCAAGGUGUUAAGAUGAGGCAGCCGUCAUGUCCUACUCCCCCCUGCCUACUCAAGCUGUGUAUUCAUCUCUGGAAACUGCUUGCUGUUGCCACAAGAGGCUAUAAAUUAAUCGAACAAUGCUACACUGGACACUGUAACCACACCCUAUAGCUUAACAAUAUAUAGCCCAUCAAUAGCUUAUUUUUUUUUGAGACGGAGUCUUGCUCUGUCACCCAGGCUGCAGUGCAGUGGUGUGGUCUCAGCUUACUGCAACCUCUGCCUCCUGGAUUCAAGCGAGUCUCAUGCCUCAGCCUCCAGCGUAGCUGGGAUUACAGGCACACGCCACCACACCAGGAUAAUUUUUUGUAUUUUUAGUAGAGACGGGGUUUCACCAUGUUGGCCAGGCUGGUCUCAAACUCCUCACCUCAAAUGAUCCGCCUGCCUUGGCCUCCCAAAGUGCUGGGAUUACAGGUGUGACAACACUCAGCCUAGCUUAUGUUAUUUUAAUGUAAAUUCUUGGUAAACAACUUGGGACCUGCCUCUUCUCCCCAGAGUCCUGGAUAACCCUCUCUGCCCUGUCUCCUUCCCACCUACCGCCCUGAAGGCUGCUUCCGCCUCUGCCCAGACUGCAGAUGCUCCCAGGCUGUGUCCUCUGCCCGCCUCUUCUCUCCAGCCCUCUCUCAUGGCAGUCCCACCUGACAACUCCCAUGGCCUCCUGGGUGUCCUGCAAAGGCUUUGUCACUGGUGUCACUCCUCCAGGCCUCAGAUAAUUCCAGAUACACAAGCGCUCUCCCAACAAGCCAUAUUCUCACCUCUGCAAAGCAUUUCCAAGCAUCUCCGUUUCCUCUGCAUAAGCGACACGGCCCAGCCACCCGAGCCCUCGUUGCCAUCCACCACUGGGCAUCAGCUUCCACUCCCGUCUUUCUCGUGUCCUCUGGUCCAGCCCCUGGUGAGCUCCAGCCAAGCACCGCCUACUGGGCCUCUGGUCUUUACCUGUUCUGUUCCCUCUGCCUGGAGUUUUUUUAAGUAGAAAAAUGCGAGAAUGUGGAGUGGGAAUGUAAAAUGGUGUGGCUGCUGCAGAAAACACUUUGGUGGUUCCUGAAAAAGUUUAGGCAUACACUUAGCAUGGGACUCAGCAUUUACCCCUUAAGCACACGCCCCAUGGAAACAAAACCUGUUCCCUCGGAAACGCGCACACAGACGCUCGUAGCUACGUCCUUCGUAACAGCUGGAAGGCGGAUGUUGGGAACAGGCCCCCCAAAAUCUGGCCAUAAACUGGCCCCAAAACUGGCCAUAAACAAAAUCUCUGCAGCACUGUAACAUGCUCAUGAUGGUCAUGACGCCCACGCUGGAAGGUUGUGGGUUUACCGGAAUGAGGGCAAGGAACGCCUGGCCCAUUCAGGGCGGAAAACCGCUUAAAGACAUUCUUAAUCCACAAACAAUAGCGUGAGCGAUCUGUGCCUUAAGGGCAUGCUCCUCCUGCAGGUAACCAGCCAAACCCAUCCCUUUAUUUCCAGCCCAUCCCUUUAUUUCCCAUAAAGAAUGCCUUUAAAUCUAUAAUCUAUAAAAACAAUGCUUAUCACUGGCUUGCUGUCAAUAAAUAUGUGGGUAAAUCUCUGUUCAAGGCUCUCAGCUCUGAAGGCUGUCAGCCCCGAUUUCCCACUCCACACCUCUGUAUUUCUGUGUGUGUGUGUGUCUUUAAUUCCUCUAGCGCCGCUGGGUUAGGGUCUCCCUGACCGAGCUGGUCUCGGCAGGCGGAGACGACCGGGUGUCCACCACAGGUGAAGGGAUUAACAAAUGGUGCCCGGUCCCUGGGGUGGGAUAUUAUGCAUCUGUGAACAGAAGUGAGACACUGAUACACUGAGGGGACUCAGGGGCCACCACUGGGAUGAGGCUUGGAAAUGUGGCUUCCACCGAAAGAAGUGAGACACAAACGUUCGCACACCGCGUGAUUCCUUUUAUAUGAAAUAUCCAAAACGGACAAAUCCAUAGAGACAGAAAGCAGAUCUGUGGUUUCCAGAGGAUGGGGAAGG